RNAcentral lists this ribosomal RNA (484 nucleotides) under uncultured bacterium. RNAcentral's name for it is "partial 16S ribosomal RNA". It matches the Rfam family "Bacterial small subunit ribosomal RNA", at positions 30 to 507 of the family's 1533-position model. The record is from RNAcentral.
AUUGAACGCUGGCGGCAGGCCUAACACAUGCAAGUCGAGCGGAUGAAGGGAGCUUGCUCCUGGAUUCAGCGGAGGACGGGUGAGUAAUGCCUAGGAAUCUGCCUGGUAGUGGGGGAUAACGUCCGGAAACGGGCGCUAAUACCGCAUAAGUCCUGAGGGAGAAAGUGGGGGAUCUUCGGACCUCACGCUAUCAGAUGAGCCUAGGUCGGAUUAGCUAGUUGGUGGGGUAAAGGCCUACCAAGGCGACGAUCCGUAACUGGUCUGAGAGGAUGAUCAGUCACACUGGAACUGAGACACGGUCCAUACUCCUACGGGAGGCAGCAGUGGGGAAUAUUGGACAAUGGGCGAAAGCCUGAUCCAGCCAUGCCGCGUGUGUGAAGAAGGUCUUCGGAUUGUAAAGCACGUUAAGUUGGGAGGAAGGGCAGUAAGUUAAUACCUUGCUGUUUUGACGUUACCGACAGAAUAAGCACCGGCUAACUUCGUG